GGGAGCAAUCCUGGUGGCGAGUGGCGAACGGGUGAGUAAUAUAUCGGAACGUGCCCAGUCGUGGGGGAUAACGCAGCGAAAGCUGUGCUAAUACCGCAUACGAUCUCUGGAUGAAAGCGGGGGACUCGCAAGGGCCUCGCGCGAUUGGAGCGGCCGAUAUCAGAUUAGCUAGUUGGUGGGGUAAAGGCCCACCAAGGCGACGAUCUGUAGCUGGUCUGAGAGGACGACCAGCCACACUGGAACUGAGACACGGUCCAGACUCCUACGGGAGGCAGCAGUGGGGAAUUUUGGACAAUGGGCGCAAGCCUGAUCCAGCAAUGCCGCGUGCAGGAUGAAGGCCUUCGGGUUGUAAACUGCUUUUGUACGGAACGAAACGGUCUGCCUUAAUACGGUGGGCUAAUGACGGUACCGUAAGAAUAAGCACCGGCUAACUACGUGCCAGCAGCCGCGGUAAUACGUAGGGUGCGAGCGUUAAUCGGAAUUACUGGGCGUAAAGCGUGCGCAGGCGGUUAUAUAAGACAGAUGUGAAAUCCCCGGGCUCAACCUGGGACCUGCAUUUGUGACUGUAUAGCUAGAGUACGGUAGAGGGGGAUGGAAUUCCGCGUGUAGCACUGAAAUGCGUAGAUAUGCGGAGGAACACCGAUGGCGAAGGCAAUCCCCUGGACCUGUACUGACGCUCAUGCACGAAAGCGUGGGGAGCAAACAGGAUUAGAUACCCUGGUAGUCCACGCCCUAAACGAUGUCAACUGGUUGUUGGGUCUUCACUGACUCAGUAACGAAGCUAACGCGUGAAGUUGACCGCCUGGG
Molecule: ribosomal RNA, 807 nt
Filed under: uncultured bacterium
Lineage: Bacteria
Description: bacterial SSU rRNA
Rfam family: Bacterial small subunit ribosomal RNA
Source: RNAcentral